UUAAAAAGCUCGUAGUUGAAUUUCGGGAUUAGUACGUUGGUCGUGCCUUCGGUACGUACUGGUGUUACUGAUUCCUACCUUCUGUCGAACCAUCAUGUCAUUAAUUUGGUGUGGUGGGGAAUCAGGACUGUUACUUUGAAAAAAUUAGAGUGUUUAAAGCAGGCUCGCGCUUGAAUACAUUAGCAUGGAAUAAUGAAAUAGGACGUUGAUCCUAUUUUGUUGGUUUCUAGGAUUGACGUAAUGAUUAAUAGGGAUAGUUGGGGG
This 264-nucleotide ribosomal RNA is filed under the name uncultured Glomeromycotina. Its description in RNAcentral is "partial 18S ribosomal RNA". It matches the Rfam family "Eukaryotic small subunit ribosomal RNA", at positions 619 to 888 of the family's 1831-position model. Lineage: Eukaryota; Fungi; Glomeromycota. The record is from RNAcentral.